AUUAGGGUUUGAUUUAUGGCUCAGGACGAACGCUAGCGGCAUGCUUAACACAUGCAAGUCGAGGGGUAACAGAGGUAGCUUGCUACUUGCUGACGACCGGCGCACGGGUGCGUAACGCGUAUACAAUCUGCCUUAUACAGAGGGAUAGCCUUUAGAAAUGAAGAUUAAUACCUCAUGGUCUAUUAAUAUAGCAUUAUAUAAAUAGUAAAGCUUCGGCGGUAUAAGAUGAGUAUGCGUCCUAUUAGUUAGUUGGUAAGGUAACGGCUUACCAAGACUACGAUAGGUAGGGGCCCUGAGAGGGGGAUCCCCCACACUGGUACUGAGACACGGACCAGACUCCUACGGGAGGCAGCAGUGAGGAAUAUUGGACAAUGGAGGAAACUCUGAUCCAGCCAUGCCGCGUGCAGGAAGACGGCCCUAUGGGUUGUAAACUGCUUUUAUAUAGGAAGAAACCUUUUCACGUGUGAGAAGCUGACGGUACUAUAAGAAUAAGGACCGGCUAACUCCGUGC
RNAcentral lists this ribosomal RNA (511 nucleotides) under uncultured bacterium. Its description in RNAcentral is "bacterial SSU rRNA". It matches the Rfam family "Bacterial small subunit ribosomal RNA", at positions 1 to 508 of the family's 1533-position model. The record is from RNAcentral.